This 520-nucleotide ribosomal RNA is filed under the name uncultured bacterium. Its description in RNAcentral is "partial 16S ribosomal RNA". It matches the Rfam family "Bacterial small subunit ribosomal RNA", at positions 28 to 523 of the family's 1533-position model. The record is from RNAcentral.
GACGAACGCUGGCGGCGUGCUUAACACAUGCAAGUCGAACGGACUACUUUGCUUCGGUAAGGUGGUUAGUGGCGAACGGGUGAGUAACGCGUAGACAACCUACCUCUUAGAUGGGGACAACAUCGCGAAAGCGGUGCUAAUACCGAAUGAAGUGACUUUCCUGCAUGGGAGAGAUACUAAAGGUGGCCUCUAUUUAUAAGCUACCACUGAGAGAUGGGUCUGCGUCUGAUUAGCUAGUUGGCGGGGUAAUGGCCCACCAAGGCGACGAUCAGGAGCCCGUCGGAGAGGAUGAACGGCCACAUUGGGACUGAGACACGGCCCAAACUCCGACGGGAGGCAGCAGUGGGGAAUCUUCCGCAAUGGACGAAAGUCUGACGGAGCAACGCCGCGUGAGUGAAGAAGGUUUUCGGAUCGUAAAGCUCUGUUGUUUGAGACGAAUGUGCCUGUUUCAAAUAGGGACAGGUAAUGACGGUAUUAAACGAGAAAGCCACGGCUAACUACGUGCCAGCAGCCGCGGUAA